UAGUCCACGCCCUAAACGAUGAAUGUUAGUCGUCGGGUAGCUAGUCUAUUCGGUGAUGCAGCUAACGCAUUAAACAUUCCGCCUGGGGAGUACGGUCGCAAGAUUAAAACUUAAAGGAAUUGACGGAGAUCCGCACAAAUAGUGGAGCAUGUGGUUUAAUUCGUAAGUACGCGACAACCUUACCAGCUUUGGAAUGUAAGCUGCGACCUUUGAGAAAGAGGUUUCAGAUAAUGCUGGGCUUACACAGAUGUUGCAUGGCCGCUGUCAGAUCGUGCCGUGAGGUGUUAGAUUAAGUUCUAUAACGAGCGCAACCCCUGUUGUUAGUUGCCAGCGAUUCAAGUCGGGAACUCUAACAAGACUGCCAGUGCAAACUGAGAGGAAGGUGGGGAUGACGUCAAAUCAUCACGGCCCUUACGUCCUGGGCUACACACGUCCUACAAUGGCAAGUACAGAGGGCAGCGAAGCAGCAAUGUGAAGCGAAUCCCAGAAAGCUUG
RNAcentral lists this ribosomal RNA (495 nucleotides) under uncultured bacterium. RNAcentral's name for it is "bacterial SSU rRNA". It matches the Rfam family "Bacterial small subunit ribosomal RNA", at positions 791 to 1285 of the family's 1533-position model. The record is from RNAcentral.